GAUGAACGCUGGCGGCGUGCCUAAUACAUGCAAGUCGAGCGAACAGAUGAGGAGCUUGCUCCUCUGACGUUAGCGGCGGACGGGUGAGUAACACGUGGAUAACCUACCUAUAAGACUGGGAUAACUUCGGGAAACCGGAGCUAAUACCGGAUAAUAUAUUGAACCGCAUGGUUCAAUAGUGAAAGACGGUUUUGCUGUCACUUAUAGAUGGAUCCGCGCCGCAUUAGCUAGUUGAUAAGGUAACGGCUUACCAAGGCAACGAUGCGUAGCCGACCUGAGAGGGGGAUCGGCCACACUGGAACUGAGACACGGUCCAGACUCCUACGGGAGGCAGCAGUAGGGAAUCUUCCGCAAUGGGCGAAAGCCUGACGGAGCAACGCCGCGUGAGUGAUGAAGGUCUUCGGAUCGUAAAACUCUGUUAUUAGGGAAGAACAAAUGUGUAAGUAACUAUGCACGUCUUGACGGUACCUAAUCAGAAAGCCACGGCUAACUACGUG
Molecule: ribosomal RNA, 497 nt
Filed under: uncultured bacterium
Lineage: Bacteria
Description: partial 16S ribosomal RNA
Rfam family: Bacterial small subunit ribosomal RNA
Source: RNAcentral